Molecule: long non-coding RNA, 22007 nt
Filed under: Pelobates cultripes (western spadefoot toad)
Lineage: Eukaryota; Metazoa; Chordata; Amphibia; Anura; Pelobatidae
Source: RNAcentral
ACAAAGGACUACUAUACCGGCACACAGAGAAGGUAGUGUCCGGGUCAAUACCUUUACCCAUUAAACAGCUAAUAGUGCCUCGAAAAUAUAGGUUAGAGCUGUUACGCAUAGCCCAUGAUAUCCCCCUGUCUGGACACCUCGGCAUCAGUCAUACCAAGCACAGGCUGACCCAAAAUUUCUUUUGGCCAGGUAUUUCUCAGGAUGUUAGGCGAUAUUGCCAGACCUGUGAUACCUGCCAAAGGGUAGGUGUGACGAGACCAAUCUCGCCACAUUGCAUUGGAGAAGCCUGGUUGCUCGCCUGCUGCCUUUGGACUAUGGCCCCCUAUUAAAAGACUUUAUUUUGCCUGCAGAAAAGCUAUAUUCGUGCUUUUCUGCCGGUUGUUCGGUAGUUUCAAUCUACCGAACAACCGCACGAAUGAAUAGACCACCUGGAGCUGGAGUGUGCCGGCAAUUAACCUCCCUGAAGCUGCGGUUAACCGCAGCUUAAUUGAUGAAUGCUGGGUGGCCGCCAUUCGUAUCCCGAACACGAGGUCGCGGCCAUUUUAAAACAUACGAAUGCACAGCGGUGUUCGCCUCUAUUUUCAUGGAACUAAAAUCGGACACAGUUUUGCGCGAACACCGCUGGAGCCGCCGACCUCCCUUCUUGUUUUUUUUGAUUGGGUAACUAAAAUUAUAGAUCAGGGUGGUGCAGUAGACAUUGCUUACCUAGAUUUCAGUAAGGCUUUUGACACUGUUGCACAUAGAAGGCUUAUCAAUAAACUGCAAUCUUUAAGUUUGGAUUCCAAUAUUGUUGAAUGGGUAAGGCAGUGGCUGAGUGACAGGCAACAGAGGGUUGUAGUUAAUGGAAUAUAUUCGAAGCUUGGACUUGUCACCAGUGGGGUACCUCAGGGAUCUGUACUUGGACCCAUUCUCUUUAAUAUUUUUACUAGUGAUAUUGCAGAAGGUCUUGAUGGUAAGGUAUGUCUUUUUGCUGAUGAUACUAAGAUAUGUAACAGGAUUAAUGUUCAGGAGGGAUAAGCCAAAUGACAAAUGAUUUAGGUAAACUAGAAAAAUGGUCAGAAUUGUGGCAACUGACAUUUAAUGUGGAUAAGUGCAAGAUAAUGCAUCUUGGACGUAAAAACCCAAGGGCAGAGUACAGAAUAUUUGAUAGAGUCCUAACCUCAACAUGAGGAAAGGGAUUUAGGGGUGAUUAUUUCUGAUGACUUAAAGGUAGGCAGACAAUGUAAUAGAGCAGCAGGAAAUGCUAGCAGAAUGCUUGGUUGUAUAGGGAGAGGUAUUGGCAGUAGAAAGAGGGAAGUGCUCAUGCCAUNNNNNNNNNNNNNNNNNNNNNNNNNNNNNNNNNNNNNNNNNNNNNNNNNNNNNNNNNNNNNNNNNNNNNNNNNNNNNNNNNNNNNNNNNNNNNNNNNNNNAACAUUAGAAAGGUACAUUACUCAGUAUGUACUAUUGGGUAAUAAAUAUAAAAGAAACAAAUUAAAACCAAUGUGGCUUAGUAGAGAAGUAAAACAAUAGAUUAAAAAUAAGAAAAGGGCAUUUAAAUCGGGCAAAUCAGAGGCAUCCUAUAUUAUAUAUAAGGAAGCCAAUAACGCUUGCAAAAAGGCAAUUAAAGUGGCUAAACUAGAAAAUGAGAAAUUGAUAGCCAAACAAUGCAAAACUAACCCCUAAAAAAACAUAAAAUGAAAGUGUAGGUACACUGGAAACAGAGAUGGGUCUGUUAGUUAAUGAAGACAAGGAAAAGGCAAAAAUUUUAAAUAACUAUUUUCCUUCAGUAUAUAUUAAUGAGGAUCAUAUGGCAAGAGAUAAGCAAAUGAUUGCUGCAAAAAACUUGCAGAUAACUUGUGAUUGGAUUGUAACCACAGCUGGUUUUCCUAUUUACCACUAUAACGUAUUAAAGCAUAGAAAUUAGCCGGACUAACCAUACAGAUAUCUUAGCCAUAAUUUUAAAUACAUGUAGUUAGUAAGAGAUCCUCUAUUUAAAAUAUAUAAAUAAUUGAGAAUACAAUAUAAAAUAAGGAUUGUCUUUCUAAGCAAUAAAGUUUUGUCUUUUAAAAUAUUUUAUUAAAUAAAAAAUAUACAUAUAGACAUAACAAAAAUUACAAAGAUUUAUAGCAGAUUUUAUAAGAUUAAACUAUAUGCUUGCAAAUAUCCUUAAUAGAAUAACAUACCCUCCUGAACAUGUCAUCAUGUCAGCCAGGACCGGACUGGGAAAAAAAUUUGGCCCGGGCAUUUUUCAAUCAGAGCGGCCCCCUAAGAAGGGGGCGGGGCUAGAGAGAGUGUGUUUUGUCAUCACUAAUGACAAGCACGCCCCCUCUCAAAGUGAGCAUGUUGGUUCAAUGCGCAGAGCCCCGCGGAAGAGCUCUGGCAUUAGAAAAAGGCCCUGAAUUUGUUCUGCCCAGCGUAAGCAAAUUUAAUAACAUGCUUGCACUGUGUUUGCUUUUAAAUUGUCUCUGGUGUCUCCACAAGUGGGAUACCAGAAGACAAAAGGGCCAGGAAAGUGCAUGGUGCAUGUGUUUGGAGCAUGCUUGUGGGAUUGUGUGUGUGUAGAGUGUGGUGUGGUAUUGUGUAAAUAGGUCAAUUUCAUUUGUGUUUGUGGUGUAAUAUGUGUGGCUAGGGGCAGUGUGUAGGAGAUCUAGUGUGUAAAGGACUCAGAGUGUGUAUAGGAGAUUGUGUGUGUGUGUAGAGGAUUAAGAGUGCAUAUAGGGUAAGGGAUCUAGCGUGUAUCUGGAGCGUAAUGUGUGUAGUGGUGCCGUGUGAGGGGUGCUGUAGUGUGUGUGUAUAUAUAUAUAUUUGGACGUAUUGUAUGUGUGAGGGGCGCAGUGUGUGUGUGUGUGUAUGUAAGAAGGGUGCUGUGUGUGAGGGUGUUUUUAUCUGCCGUCUUAUUCUAGGUUUCUUUUUUUUUUGUCUGUUAACUCAAUGAGAGUUAUUUUAUUUAUUAUAUAUAUGUGGGUGUGUGUGUGUUGUAUAUGUGUGGAAGUAUGCUGUGUGUGGGUGCUGUGUGAGUGAGGGUGUUGUCUGUCUGAGGGAGCAGUGUCUGUCUGAGGGUGCUGCGUGUGUAUCUGGUUGAUGUGUGUGUCUGAGGGUGCUGUGUGUGUCUGGGUGCGGCGUGUUUGUCUGAGGGUGCUGUGUGUGUGUCUGAGGAUGCUGUGUGUGUGUCUGAGUGCUGCGUGUGUAUCUGGGUACUGCGUGUGUAUCUGGGUGCUGCGUGUGUGUCUGGGUGCUGUGUCUGGGGCUGUGUCUGGGGUGCUGUGUGUGUCUGGGGUGCUGUGUGGGGUGUCUUGGGGUGCUGUGUGUGUCUGGGGGAGCUGUGUGUGUCCUGGGGCCCAAAGGUCUGGGGACUUCAAAAGGCCUGAGGGGCUGUGUGCUGCCUGGGGGUGCUGUGUGCAUCUGAGGGGGCUGUGUGCAUCUGAGGGGCUGUGUGUGUCUGGGGGCUGUGUGUGUGUCUGGGGUGCUGUGUGUGUCUGGGUGCGGCGUGUUUGUCUGAGGGUGCUGUGUGUGUGUCUGAGGGUGCUGUGUGUGUGUCUCUGAGGGUGCUGCAUGUGUAUCUGGGUGCUGCGUGUGUAUCUGGAUGCUGUGUCUGGGGGUGCUGUGUGUGUCUGGGGAUGCUGUGUGUGUCUUGAGGUGCUGUGUGUGUCUGAGUGAUGCGUGUGUAUCUGGGUGCUGCGUGUGUGUCUGGGUGCUGUGUCUGGGGGCUGUGUCUGGGGGUGCUGUGUGUGUCUGGGGAUGCUGUGUGUGUCUUGGGUGCUGUGUGUGUCUGGAGGGGGCUGUGUGUGUCUGGGGGUGCUGUGUGUCUUGGGGGUGCUUUGUCUUUCGUCUGAGGGGUGCUUUGUCUGUCUGAGGGGCUGUGUGUGUGUCUGAGGGGGGCUAUGUGUGUCUGUGGGGCUGUGUGUGUCUGGGGCUGUGUGUGUAUCUGGGGCUGUGUGUCUGGGGGGCUGUGUGUGUCUGUGGGGGCUGUGUGUAUCUGGGGGCUGCUGUGUGUGUGUCUAAAGGUAUGUCUGGGGGGCUGUGUGUCUGGGGGGGCUGUGUGUAUCUGGGGCUGUGUGUAUCUGGGGUGGGGCUGUGUGUGUCUGGGGCUGUGUGUAUCUGGGGGUGCUGUGUGUAAGUGUGGAAUUUAUUUAUUUUAUAUAUUUUUAUUAAUAAUCCCUUCUUACCUCUAGCCUGGGAUGGCGGGGUGGGGGGGGGGGGUGAGCCGUUCUGCAAUGAGGGGGAUCCGUUCUGCCUGGGGUGCCAUGAGGGGGACCAUGCUGCCAUCCUUCCCUGGUGGUCCAGUGGUGAGAGUGAACUCUAACCUGCAGGCUAGAGUUCACUCUCGCGAGAUCUGAGAGUUGCCGCGAGAGGACCCGGCGGAGCUGCUGGUUAGAGCUCCACCGGGUUCUCUCCUCACUCCCUCCCCAGCCUGCGGCCGCCUGUAACAGUGCCUGUGGGCCGGUGAGAGAGAUCUUUGAUCUCCCCACCGGCCCAUGGAGGCACACAGCGGGGCCGGCGCUCGGGUAUUCUGUGAUCUCCCCUGCCGGCCUCGGCCCCACUGCCAUCGCGGCCCACCGGGCAUUUUCCCGGUGUGCCCGAUGGCCAGUCCGGGCCUGAUGUCAGCCUCUCUGUCAUUAUAAGAUGGAGCGUCUGUCUCCAAAUCUCUCCUUUCUGUGUUAACAUUUAAAAGCACACAUAUUUAUACCUUAGGUGUCUCCAUUUUAGGGUUACCAUAGUUCAUAUAUGAAAAAGUAACACUUCUUUUACUUCAUUCAUUUUAGGACCUCCCUUAACUUGGCAAACAUACAAGGCAAUAACUAAAAUGAAAGAGUGCACACAUGGAAAAUUCCCUGACUUAGGACAAGAUGGCAUCUUAAAGUCUGAACAUUUUUAUCUAUUUAGGGUUACCGCAGUAUAUUGUGUACUGAAAGAGUCGUAGCAUACCCUUAAAGCUUGUUUAUACAUUAUUGUUAUUGUAUUUUGUCUGGGACAAAAUGGCGUAAACAUAUUAUUUACUUGUGACGAGACCAAUCUCGCCACAUUGCAUUGGAGAAGCCUGGUUGCUCGUCUGCUGCCUUUGGACUAUGGCCCCCUUUUAAAAGACUUUAUUUUGCCUGCAGAAAAGCUGUAUUCGUGCUUUUCUGCCGGUUGUUCGGUAGUUUCAAUCUACCGAACAACCGCACGAAUGAAUAGACCACCUGGGAGCUGGAGUGUGCCGGCAAUUAACCUCCCUGAAGCUGCGGUUAACCGCAGCUUAAUUGGUGAAUGCUGGGUGGCCGCCAUUCGUAUCCCGAACACGAGGUCGCGGCCAUUUUAAAACAUACGAAUGCACAGCGGUGUUCGCCUCUAUUUUCAUGGAACUAUAAUCGGACACAGUUUUGCGCGAACACCGCUGGAGCCGCCGACCUCCCUUCUUGUUCGGUGGAAGUGCACGAACGGCCCGGUAUUUUUGUUCGAAUGUAUUAUACCGCAGAUAGGAAUCCCAUGGAGCCCAUUCGUAUGAAACUGACUGUGUAAAGACUUUAGCUCCAUGGCGAUUAAACUGUAUUCAUGCGGUCUGAGUGCCAUUCACCUAAUAAUGUGCACUCAAACCUGAGCUAUCUUGGGAUAUGUUACAUGUCUGUGUUUUAUGUAGUAAAUGUUACUUUAUGUAUUUUAAAGUAUAAUACUGGUUUUGUGUCCCCACAUGUGUAAUGGAGUUUUGCCUUUGUCUUGGGAGAUAAUUGAGUUACUUCACAAUUAUCUCCCAAGGCAGAGGGGAGGAAGCCAGGAUGCAUUGUGGGAAAUACUGUGACUGUGUGUCCUAUUUGUCUGCUUGUCUGUCCCUUGUCACAGUCUCCCAUUUGGUCCCCUAGGGGAGUGUCCACCAGGUGGGAGACCUGCAUAAAUACUGGGCAGGGAGCCCUCAUUAAACAGACCACUGCUUGACCCUCAAUACGGAGCCUUGUCUCGUCUUUGGGGGGAUUUACUGUAUGCUGCUAAGGACUGAUUGCCAGGAGUGUAAGCCGCUUGGGAGCUUUUCCUGUUCGUCUGGUAGCAGCAAUUCGUAUGUUCCUGUUCGUGUAUUUGGAGUGCUACCUUAUUCCCUUGUAUGCCGUUCGGGAGUUUGGAGCAUUCACUUGUAUGCAGUUCGAGAGUUUGGAGCAUUCACUUGUAUGCAGUUCGAGUGUUUGGACCAUUCCCUUGUAUGCAGUUCGAGUGUUUGGACCAUUCCCUUGUAUGCAGUUCGAAUGUUUGGAGCAUUCCCUUGUAUGCCGUUCGGGAGUUUGGAGCAUUCACUUGUAUUCAGUUCGUGAGUUUUGGUGAUUCUACAGUAGCUGUGCCUGUCUCUGAAAGGGGAUUAUCGUCUAAGCGUUUUUUUCCCUUUUUGUGCAAAACGGUCCAUACAGUACUGAAAGUAGGUAAAAGGGUAUUGCUUUAAGAAACACGUAUGAAAAACAAUAUAUUCCAUUUCUAACACCUUAUCAGUUUUCAAUAUCUCUUAAAGACAAAGUACACAGUUUGAGAAAUACAAUGUAGAGGAGAGGUGAUAUUUCACAGGUUAUCUCCACUCAAGAUCCCAGUGAGGCUCAGGAAUAAGUAUUAAAAAUCCAUAAGGCAAUACUUUCAGCAGGCAAAACAAUCCAACAAUAUCCCCAUACAGAUCCCAAUGACUGGACGACACACAGCAUCAGGAGCAGAACUGAACUUGUAAUCACUCAACCUUCUUUUAAAGCUUUCUCCCAUGUAAGGGAGGGAUUUACAGUAAUUAUACAAUACACCAAUCAUACAUGAGUUGCCACCCACACAUCCCCUGCCCUUAGUAUGACUCAUAAUCCCAUUAUGCAGAACACAGUUCCCCUGGUUUUCUGGAUGUACCCCUAAACAUAGGGGUACCCCUUUAAAUAUCACAUCCCCUGGUAGCCCUGAUCUGGGUGAGAAACAUAUUCAAAAAUCACCCAGAUCGAACAAGGGGUUCGGGAAUUUCCUGGAGGUAAUAAAAAGACCGACGCGUUGGAGUUAACAGCCGAAAGGGGUUCCAUACAUUUUGGCCCUGCGGUCGGUCACAGAAAAAGGGAAUAUACACGAACGGCUUGGGUUAUGGAGACUGAAGAGGAUUCGGAUAAACCACCUUGUUCGUGGGGUUCUUUCUACCGAACGGGGAGCCGUUCGGUAGUUCCUACACAAAUUAACUGCAGUGUGGACGUCUCCCGAAUGGCGGCCACCCAGAGGACAAAGCACACAGUGCACUGAUAGCCAAUUACCCAUUUGCAACAUUGUUGCGAACGGUAAUUGGAGGCACACUUAUUCCUGGGGUGGUCUGAUUGUUCGGUAGUUUCACUCGCGUAAUAACUGGAGUGAUUUUAUAAAUCAAUCAGUUGAAUGAUGCAUACACUUUACAUACAUAUGGCAAAAAUUAACCGAACACAUACGAAUACACAUAAUUCUGAGGACAGCCCAAUGCCAUCCUCUACAUACAAUAUUUGCAUUAGCCCAUAACAGGACAACUCGAGACAGCAGUUAAAGAAAAUUAAUGUAAAUAAAGCUCCAGGGCCUGACGGUAUUCACCCACAGGUACUUAAGGAGCUAGGUGGGGAAAAAAGGGAACCUCUGUAUUUAAUCUUUAAAGAAUCUUUUGUUUCAGGUAUUGUACCGGAAAUUUGGAGGAAGGCAGAUGUCAUUCCUAUAUUUAAAAAGGGUUCAAAAUCCUUGCCUGCAAAUUAUAGACAUGUGAGCUUAACAUCUGUGACUGGGAAAAUGUUUGAAAGGCUAUUAAGGGAUAAUAUUCAGGAAUUUAUUGGGAAGAACUUUGUUAUUAGCAAUAAUCAACAUGGCUUUAUGAAAUAUAGGUCAUGUCAAACUAACCUAAUUGCAUUCUACGAAGAAGUAUAGAUCAGGGUGUUGCAGUGGCUGUGAUCUAUUUGGAUUUUGCCAAGGCAUUUGAUACGGUUCCUCACAAUAGGUUAGUCUUCAAACUAAAAGAAAUUGGUCUUUUUGAAUAGUCUUGUUCUUGGGUAGAACAUUGGCUUAAGGAUAGAGUACAACGGGUUGUCAUUAAUGGUAAAUUUUCAGGCUGGACAAAAGUGGUAAAUGGUGUCCCUCAGGGUUCUGUUUUGGGACCGUUUCUAUUUAACAUAUUUAUAAAUAAUCUUGAAAUACGCAUUGAAAGCCAUGUUUUAGUGUUUGCAGAUGACACAAAACUUUGCAAAGUGAUAAAAAGUGAGUAGGAUAUUGCUAUGCUGCAGAAGGAUUUAGAUAGAUUGGGGGACUGGGCACUAAAAUGGCAGAUUAAAUUUAAUGUAGAGACAUGCAAAGUUAUGCACUUUGGGGUCAAGAAUGUACAAGCAAUUUACACCCUAAAUGGUAGUGAAUUAGGGAUAACCACUCACGAGAAGGAUUUGGGAAUUGUUAUAGACAACAAAUUAGGCAGCAAUAUCCAAUGUCAAUCUGCAGUUGCUAAGGCCAGUAAGGUUUUGUCAUGUAUAAAUAGGGACAUAAAUUCUCGGUAUGAAUUUGUAAUUUUGCCUCUUUAUAAAUCGCUGCUAAGACCACACCUUGAAUAUGCUGAAUAUGUAUAUAUCUAUAUAUGUUGAAUAUAUUCGGUGCCAGUACAAACUAUUAUCUUGAAAUCUAUUCAUGGGCUAUCCAUAGGACACAAGGUCACGUAUUUAGGCUGGAAGAAAUUAGAUUUCAUCUAAGGCAAAAAGUUUUUGGUUUUUUUAACAGUAAGAACUAUAAGGAUAUGGAAUUCUCUGCCUGAAGAGUCCAUACAGAUGUUUACCCCUUAAGGACAGAGCCAAUUGUAUAAAUUGUGAUCAAGACAAAUGUAAACAAAACCUGGAAAUUGCGAUAUAUGUUGUUCAACGAUAAUUCACCUCUUUCAUAUUAAGUGUACCCACACUUAUUAUAUAUCAUUUUGUUCAGGAGAAACAGGGCUUUCGUUUUAUAUCACAUAUUUAUAUAUGAAACAUAACUGAAUGUGAAUAAAAUUUAAAAAGUAUGAGAAAAUAAGAAAAUGUGUUAUUUUUCAAGUUCUGCAUAACUGUUACUGUCAUAAUACUAGUAGACAUAUUUGUAUUAAGCAAUGUUUCAUGAGUACCACAGUACCCUACACAUAGAGGUUUUAUGAGUGUUUGGAAACUUACAAAGGUCAAAUAUAGGGCUUUCCCCUUUUCCAUUGAAAUUUGCCAGUUCGGUUUGCUGGGCCGGUUGCCUUUAAGACCGGAUGGUUGCCUUUGAGACGGUAUGGCAGCCCAGAAAUGAAAAUUAACCCCACCAUGGCAUACCAUUUGAAAAAGUAGACAACCCGGGUAUUCAGAAUGGGCUAUGUCCAGUGUUCUUUAGUAGCCACUUGGUUACAAACGCUGGCCAAAUUUAGCAUUCAUAUUAUUUUUUUUGCAUUUUGGUACGUUUUACUGUUUUAUAAACACACAUAUUUGUGUUCAGCGACGUCUCCCAAGUACAAUAAUACCCCCCAUGUCCAGGUUUUAUGGUGUUUUGGAUAAACAUAGGACUUGCAAAUUUAAUUUUCUGGGCUUGCUGCCUGGGUUGUCAGGCUGGUCCCUCAAAUUAUAAUAAAAUGACUAAAUUAUGUUAAAAGAUUACAUAAAUAUACACGUAGAAUUUAAAUAUAUACAUAUAUAUGUAUUUAAAUCCUACAUGUAUAUGUAUGUAAUUAUUUAUGUAGUUAUUUCUAUUUUUAUGUAUAUAUUUUUUAUUUAUUUUUAUAUAUUUAUAUAUAGAUAUAAUUUCAUUAUAAGUGUAUUUUGAUUGAUUAUAUAUAUAUAUUAAUAUCAAAAUACUUUUAGAAUGAAAUUGUAUAUAUAGAUAAUUUGUUUAAAUGUUUUAUUAUUAAUUAAAUAUAAUAUUUUUAUUAUUUAAAUUUUAUUAAAAUAUAUAUAUAUGCAGUUACUGUAUGUAAAUAUUAUUUGUGUUCGGGGCAUUCUCAUAUGAUAUAGAAUAAGAUGGGUUGUAGAGAUGUAGCUUUAGGAAUAAUCGGUUGAGGUGUGCCGAAACCGACGUAUGCUGUAGGCCGGUAAAAAGUGGGCUUACAUAGAGGAAAUAUGAACAAUGGGAGUGGAGGGUGGGGCUAUUCAUCUGACCAACAAAGGUAAGUAGGGAAAGGGGGGAGUCCCUUUUAUAGGUCUAUAGCCCCUCUAUAGCCUGUAAAUAAAAGAGAGCCCACCAAGGAGAAUGUAAUGAUAACAGGGUGUAGGUGGGUGGGGACAAUCAACUGAACCAGCAGAGGUGAGUAGGGGCUGGGAGUUUAAGUAGGGGACUUACUCCUCCCACAAAUUCAGGCCUAAUGGCCUUUCUACUUGAGCUCGGAAUUUAAUAUGUAAUGGAUAGUAUCUGAAAGGGCAAAGUUGGUUGUGGUGUGCCGAAACCAACGUACGAGUGGGCCUGUAAAUAAAAGAGGGCAAAAGAGAAGUUCGAGAAAAUACACACUUUAUUGCCUUUUUUACAUAACCAAGUUCCUGAAAGCUUGACGAAGCUCUUUUUCUGGUCACGGUAUAUAAGUAUGAUAUAUGGAGGAUUUCCAACGACCCAGUCUCUUGAUGAUGUGGACCGGGGUGUUUGUGCUAGAGGCUGAUGAAGCGGCUCCUAUGCGGAAUGAGUGCCCGGAAAAUGAAGCCGGAUUGUAACCCAGUUUGGAUAGUAGUGUCCUGACGUGUGUCGUGAAUUUAGCCGUGGUGAGCGGGUGCCCUUGUAGUGAUAAGAGCGGUGAGUCUGGUAAGUGCGCGUGAUGGGUUGACCGUAGGUGAUCUAGUGCCUUGACCGGACACCAGGCAUUAUCGGUAGGGAAGAGAGGAAUUAUGGUGGGGUGUUGUGAUUGGUAAGUUUUAGUUGAUGGGAUCAUAAGUAGGUAGUGAUCCUCCACCUUAGUAAGGUGUGAUGUUUUUAGGCUGUGCGUGAUAUCUCCUUGACAAAUAACGGUGAACUCUCUGGGUCUGAGAAAACCGUAGAAAGCAAGAUAGAUAGCAGAUUUAAUGACCAGGUUUGUGUUGGGAUCGAACGGGGAUUCAUCAAGGAGAUUGCUAAGUGAUCUAAAGAUAGGUCCGUCUAUAGGUAGUCUUGUAGUGGUGAGUGGAACUGAAACCUUUAAUUUACCUUUCAGGACCUUUUUAAUGGGAUAUGAUGACAAGAAGGGGGUGUUGUUAGGAAAAUUGGUGAGGCUAUGGUGCUGAACCCCGGUGAGGUAAAGUUUAAUGGUGUUGUGAGAAAGUUUAAGAUGUAAGUAGCAGAAAGAGGCAAAAGCCACCAUGGUUUGUGUAGAGAAGUCGCCUUGUAAACCGAAUUCUGCAGUGAAUUUGUUAAAAAUGGUAAGUGCCCUAUUAUAUGAGAUAGCUGUGUUGGGUGAUAGUGCUUGGUGAGUGAGAGUCCUAGCGUGGUGCAUAAGUGUGUUUAAUCCAGGAUUAGCUCGUGAAAUCGUGGUGUCCUGGAUGGCUGGUGGUGAGCCAUAGGGAGUGCCUGGAAGAAUACCUGGAAUUGAGAGCGAGAAAGAGCAUCAGCGGCCGUGUUGUGGGUGGCCGGGAUGUGAAAACAAACUAUAUGAAACUGGACGGUUGCUGUCAGCCAGGUCAGCUUGCGAAUCAGCCGCAUGAUGGUAAGGGAUGAUGAGCGCCCCUUGUUUAUGAUUUCGCAAGCCGCCGAGUUAUCAGAAUAGCAUUUUACUGCCUUGCCGGACCAGAGAUGACCCCAGGUGUGUGCGGCCGCCACGAUGUGAUAAUUUUUAAUAGGGCUGAGGUCUCCCUGAAUCCUGGCAAGGCAUCCGUCUCAGCGGGCCAGUGACCCCUGAACCAGUGGUUCCCGAAGAUGGCUGCGAAACCAGUGUUGGCUGCAGCGUCUGUAUGGAUGAUGGGUGAACAAGUGGAGAGAGGGGGGAUAAACAUGGAGAUACCGUUCCAAUCUGCCAAAAAUCUUCCCCCACAUAGCUAAGUCGGCCUUUGCGUGGGGGUCCAAAGAAACUGGGCAAGAGUCCGGUACCCCAUGGAGCAGGCAAAGAAGCCUAGAUAUAAAAGACCUUCCCUGCGGGAUGAUGCGCAUGGCGAAGUUAAGUGAUCCCAGAAGGGACUGAAGUUCCCUUCUGGUGCAAACAUCAUUCUGCAGGAACAUGUCUAUCUCCCCUCUCAAGCGGAACAGUUUGUCGUGGGGAAGGCUAGCUCGGAGGGUAACAGAGUCUAGCUCUAUCCCCAAAAAGGUUAAUUUAGUUGUGGGGCCAAUUGUUUUUGAUGGAGACAAUAGUACACCAAGUGUGGAAAAAAGUGCUGUAGUAUUGCUGAUAGCAGUUGGUGUUUGUGCCCCUGGCUCUAUCAGUAAGAAGUCGUCUAAGUAAUGGAUAACAGAGUGACACCUGAGGACGUUCAGAAGCAGCCAGCAUAGUGUUUCAGCGAAGAUAUCGAACAGUUUGGGGCUGCUUCUAGAACCGAAAGUGAUUCGAGUGGAGAAGUAGUACUUUUCUCGCCAUUUAACACCGUGCAAGUGCCAGAGUGAGGGGUGCAUGGGUAGUAAUUUGAAAGCAUUUGUGAUGUCCGUUUUGCUGAGCCAGGGGCGACUGCGAGAUGAGCUGAUGGAUUGUAUAGCAUCGUCAAUUGUUACAUACUGAAGUGAGAAUUCGUCUGCGGGUAUGAGUGGGUUUAUGCUGGGAACAAAAGAGGAGUGCGGUGCCGAUAAAUCAAUAAUUAGACGGUUUUUAUUAAAAUAUUUGUGUACUGCGAAAACAAUGGGGUUAGUGCGCCAGGAGGAAAACGGUGAGGAGGUGAAGGGGCCGAUCAUGAAACCGUUGGUAAUUUCUGCGGAAAGGAGGGUAUCUGUGGAGAUUGGAUCUUGGCAUGCUGACAAUAAAUUGGGACAUUCCAGUGUGCCCGUGGGGAUGGCUACAAUACCCGUGAAAAAACCCUGAGUGAAUCCAGUGGUCAGAUAUUCCACCAAAUCUGCUAGGGUGUGUCCUUAGGUAAAAAAACAGGUUGUCAAUAUUUAUGUCGGUUAGUCAUUUGUUAGGGGACAACCUGGCCGGGCACAUGGUCUUGGUAUGUGCCCUAAAGCAUAUAGAACAGAUGUGCAACAAUCUACAGGCACCGAAACUGCAGGAGCCUGCGUUGAAAUUAUUGCACACCUGAGCUUUACCUAAGAAGGAGAUGGGCCUACCCAGCUUAUCACGUAGACCGCCCGCUGAUUUGUUGUGAGGGGUGAAAGUGGGAUUAGGGGUGGGAGUGGAGGUGGUGGGAUAGACUUCUGAAGGACAUAAGUCUGCAGUAUGAGAUGUAGAGUUACAUACGGCGCAAGACGGGGGCCUGAGACCAGCGAAGUGGCGACAGAAUAGUGUCCAUCUGACACCACUUAAUUCUGACAUUGAACUGUUUCAGAUGGGUUGCCGCCUUUGCUGAUACCGACUUAUGAUAGUCGUAAAAAGAGGAGCCCCCGUACUUGAUGCCUUAAUCCACCACCUUGUGGAGGUAGAGGUCUAGCUCUUCUCUUCUGUGGGGAUACACCAUGCAGAUGACAUCACGGUAUAUCCCAAAGGCAAUCACGAACUGAGGUAUGGUUAGUUUUUUGUUGAGUCUGGGGUCUCUAGUCUUAAGCACCACUGAGAUUUCCCCGUAAUUGUAUGCCCUGUUCUCCAGUAUGUCUUGAAAUGCUAUAAGCAGAGACACCAGACACACGUCCUUCCCAUCUAGGAUUUCUUUCCUGAUGGAGUCUGGGACGGAGUGAGCUGGUGACUCGAAAGGAGAAAUAGCUGUGGCUGGUGCUGGAGGAGGGAGUAUGGGGGGGCAUGGUGGUACAGCGGGGACUGCCAGGGUGGCGACUGGGAGGCCCAGGGUAUUACCUGGGGAGGUGAUGGCGCUCUCCACCUUAGAUAGCCUGGUGCUUAAAGUCUGUAAGUUGGCCAAGAUUGCUGCUAGGGUAUCCUGGGUGGACGUGCCAGCGCUUGGUGGCUGUCCUUGAGAGCUAGUGCCUGGCCUAGGUUCAGGGGCUUGGUAGGUGAGCAGUCUGUAGAGUUCCGCCUUUCUAGCUGUAGCUGGAAAAGGGAUUCCCCUGAGCCUAAGUUCGGCCGUAAUUUUAGGGAUAGUCCAUGCUCUCAAGGACGUGGGAGCUGAGGCGGUGAGAGAUUCGCAUGGAGACUCUGGUCUGAUGGGCGUAAACGGGAUCUCCUCGGGCAACUCUUCGAUGGGGGCUGGUUCUUGAGACAUUCUAAAAAUGAUUCAGUGAAUGAGAUAUUAGAAGGUGAGUAAGCGAAGUUAAGCGAAAAACUUAACUGUGAAUUUUUGAUAGGUGAGGCCCUGCUAAUGCCAAGUGGCGGUGAGAGGCUCUACCUAUGAUUUGGCUUAGAGAAAUCGUGGCCACAGACGUGGUGGCGGGGUGUUGGCCUCUUGGUGACUGUAAUGAGAUUUAAAACAUGUGGCCGUGACAGGUGAGGCCCUGACUACAGCCCUGUAGUAGGGCGGGCGAGGCAUAUAACUAUGAUUUGGGCGUGGGGCCGUACCUCCGUGUUGAGGUGCGAGAUGGCCUCGCUGGACGGGAUUUUUUACUAGGGUGAGCUAGGGCGGUAGCUUAGACCCUGCAAGCCAGUUCACUUGUAUAUUAAAGGUUGAAUGGUAAUUCUGGUGUAAUGUGUGGAUACUAACCUUGAAGGGUUUAUAAUAGAGAGCUGGAACCUUCGAAUGUUUAUAUGUAGCGAGUCUUGGCUGCUGCUGUCCUCGUAGAAGAAGCCUAAGGAUUAAGACAGAUGUUGAUGUAUUUAUGCGUAACGUGGUGGCGUAUGAUUUGUGGUAAGGGUUGACUGAUAGGAGCGCGACGUGAGAUCCUGAAGUGAGGGAUCUGAAUGGUUAGACUACGACUGACGCGAGUUUACGUUAUAGAGAGAGGCUGAUUGAGGCCUUGGGGUAGUGAAUGCCGUAACGAAAGAGGACGUAAGUACCUGGUAGUGUGGCUGAGUACCAGGUUAGGUAGUGUGACAGAACCAUCUGUCUGCUCAUUUCAGGUGUAUUCGUCUGUUUCUAUCCUGUUCGUGUGGAUGGCUGUUUUCUAUAGCCCAGCCAUAAGAAUGAUUGCUUUUUCCCGAACAAACCUGCCGAACGGACGGCCACCCAGGAGAGAAGUGUGCUGCUGGUUAACCUAUUGAUCCCAAUUAGAACGUUGUGGUUAACCACAGACACUUCUCAAUUACACGAAUUCAGGGUGGUUGUUGUUCGUAUGUCGACCACGAGACAGCGGCCAUUUUAAACAACACGAAAGCCCAGCGGUGUUCGGCUCUAUUUUCAUGGAACUAAAAACUGACACUUUUUCUGCUGAACACCGCUGAAACAACGGAACGCCUGGCUGCCUCCACGAAAGCAUACGAACACCGGCCGUUCGGGAGUUUUGAAGCAUACGAAAGGACUUAAUCCAGAUAGCCUUCCCAUGGAGUCAAUCGCAUACCGAAAGACUGUAAGAACUUUGACUCCAUGGCGAUUGAACUAUGUGUGUGGGAUCUGAGCGCUAUUCGCCAUAAUAUGCACUCAGAUCCAGGCUAUCUGGGGAUAUGUGAUACGAAUGCAGAAUGUUCGGUUAUUGUAAAAUUAUAUAUUUUUAUGUCUUUUCUGGUUUUAUGUUUAAAAUGGCGACUGGCUUUGUCCUGGAGAUAAUUGAGUUACUUGGUAAUUAUCUCCAGGGCAGAGGGGAGGGAAUCAUAGUGCAUUGUGGGUAAACACUGUGACUGUGUGUCUGGAAUGUCCCCAUAUCUGUCUGUCAUUUAAGUCUCCCAUUUGGUCCCCUAGGGGAGAGUCCACCAAGUGGGAGACCUGCAUAAAUACGGGCAGGUAGCCCACAGUAAAGCCAGAUCCUGUUUGACCCUCAAUGCGGAGCUUCUGUCUCGUUAUUGGGGGGAUUUCUUCUUCACGUUUCGAGACUGCUGGAUGGAAACGAAAGCCGCUUGGUGGAUGUUAUUGUUCGGCGGCUCGCAGCAGUUCGUGUAUUGCCGUUCGGGAGUUUGGAGCCGUUCACGGAUCCCGGUCGGGAGAUUGCCGCUUCCCCUGCAUUUGGUUCGUGCACUACAGGUUAUGCGAACGGAGCUUAUUAAUAUUACAGAUGGGGAAGGUCAACUAAACGGCGGUUUUGCUUAAAGACACUGGGGGUGUCUUAACAAUUGGUGGCAAGCGACGGGAUGAAUCCCACAGCACUGGAGGUCAGCUACACAUCCCAAUUGAGCAAAGGAAAUGCAGUAUGAGGAGUUAAGACGUGCUACGCUUAAGGAUAUAUUGGAACGCCGAGGACGGUCAGCAAGCAACUUAAAGAAACGGGAGAUUAUUGCUUUGCUGGUAGAAAUGGAUGCGACACCGGGAAUGGAGAGAGCUAAUGUGCCCAGUACUUUGGAUUUAACACCCGAGGAAUUACAAUUUAACCGGGCAGUGCAAAUAAGGCUGGCACAUUUUGGCCCCAACCCCUCCGCAGACAUUGUGGAGCAUGUGCAGGCAGCAGUAACGGCACACCAGGCGCUCCGGGAAAGAGGAGCUGCAGCAGCAGAGGUACCCAAUAACAAUUUUGCUAGGAAAAAGGUACCCUUUGCUGCAUUUAAAAUUUUUGUUGAAACAGAGGGCGAGAUUGAUGGGUUCCUGGCGGACUUAGAGAGGCAGUGUGCCCUAGACCAGGUACCCACAGAUGAAUGGGUCACCAUCCUCUCUGGGAAGUUAUCCGGCCGGGCCAGUGAAGCGAUCACCAGCUACCGGGCGGUGAAGGAUGCGCUCCUAGCCAGGUAUGCGGUGACCCCAGAAGCUUACAGAAGGCGAUUUAGAGAAACCAACAAGCAGGUUGGUGACUUUUAUGUAGAAUGGGCCUGCAGGGUUCACCGUACCGCAGCCCACUGGAUGGCAGGAUGCCAAGCGGUAACUGGGGAGGAGGUGCUACAGGUGUUCCUGCUGGAGCACUGCUUUGAUAGACUACCUGCUGGGGUCCGGGAGUGGGUCAGGGAUAGAAAACCCUCUACCCUACCCGAGGCUGCCCGUCUGGCAGGCGAAUAUACGGACGCUCGUAAGUUGGAUAGUACAGCUACCAAAGCCCCUGCCAGACUGGAGUAUCGACCAGCAGUGCCUCCAGCUCCUUCAGCCUAUCAACCCCCAUUACACACCACCCCAGCACUACCACCGACGAACAACUACGUGCAACCAUCCAGAUUCAAUGCCCGGGAUUAUUCACAGCCCAUCCGGUGCUUUGGGUGCAAGCAGUUGGGGGCACAAGGGUCCAGAGUGCCCACUGAACAGUGCCAACCAAGCCCAAUCCUGGAGGAAACCAGCCAACGGGAACCAGCAGCCACCUCAGCCUGCUGCUCACUGCAUAGAGCAGGAGGAGUUCUGGGGCAUCCUACACGAGGCCGACCCAGUGCAAGCAGCUCACCAGGAUAAUCGCCAGCAACAUCGGCAGACGGUGAAACUUAAUGGCAGGGUGGUGAAUGGGCUAAGAGACACAGGAGCCACCAUGACACUGCUCCAAAAGAACCUGGUCUCGAAGCACCAGCACACAGGGGACACUGUGGCGGUGAGGGUAGCAGGGGGUGCCGUGUUUCGUUUACCUGUUGCCUGGGUUCAUUUGGAUUGGGGAGUGGGUGCUAGACACGUGGAUGUGGGGGUGAUGAAAGACUUGCCCGCUGAUGUUCUUCUGGGGAAUGAUUUGGCCCCUUUGGUUUCAGCCUAUGCCCGAUGGGCCCUGCUGAUGUUAACCCAGUGACUACCCAUGCUCAGACCCGUGCUUCUGGAACCGGCCCACCUGCUGAUGAGACCCAGGUAAGAUCUCCUUCCCCGACUGGUACCCUAGAUCAGGUCCCCUUAAGCUGGGAUUCCCCAGAGGAGUUUGGGAGGGAAACCCGGGCAGAUCCGACCCUCCAAAAGUACAGAGACAGGGCAGAUGCUGGAGAGGAAGGAAUAGAUGGAGAGCGGUAUGAGUGGGUAGGGGAUAGGUUAUAUAGGAUCCCUAAGCCCUCCCAGAAGAGUGUUGCCCCUCCGCCGAAUCGACAGUUAGUGGUACCUGCAAAGUACCGGCAGGAGAUUCUGCAGAUAGGGCAUGAUGUUCCGUUAGCUGGACAUCUAGGGUCCCGCCGCACAGCCUAUAGGAUCUCACAGAAUUUCUUUUGGCCAAACUUUAACCAGGCUGUGCGGAUGUAUUGCAGUACGUGUGACACAUGUCAACGGGUAGGAAAGCGGGGGGACCACCCUAAGGCUAGGCUAUUAUCGAUGCCUAUUAUAGGGGAGCCCUUUGCCCGCAUAGCUGUUGACAUUGUGGGUCCACUGGCCAGGGCUAGUCCAUCAGGUAAGAAAUACGUUCUUACCGUGGUGGACUAUGCCACUCGCUAUCCAGAGGCAGUAGCGCUGUCUAAUAUAGAGGCAGAGACGGUUGCUGAUGCCCUGGUUAGAAUUUUUACUAGGGUCAGGUUCCCUAAGGAGAUCCUCUCUGACCAGGGAACUCAAUUCACCACUGUGCUCACCCAGCAGCUGUGGAAGGUGUGUGGCAUUAAGCCGUUACUUAGCUCACCCCUACCACCCACAGGCUAACGGUCUCUGCGAGCGCUUUAACGGUACCCUCAAACAGAUGCUGAGGACCUUUACAGAUACUUGCAAAGACUGGGAGAGAUUCCUGCCUCAUUUGUUAUUUUCUUACAGAGAGGUGCCCCAGGAAUCUACUGGGUUCUCUCCCUUUGAGUUGCUGUAUGGGAGAAGGGUCCGCGGACCCCUAGAUCUCAUUCAGGGCCACUGGGAGGGGGAGACAGAGCAAGAGGGGACCCCCAUUGUGCCAUAUGUUCUGGAACUCCGGGACCGCAUGGAGAAACUGUCCCUGAUGGUAAGGGAAAAUCUCCAGGCGGCCCAGGGGAGACAGAAGAGAUGGUACGAUCAGGGUGCUCGACAGCGGGUCUUCCAGGUUGGGCAAAAGGUAUUGGUGCUCAAACCUGUGAAGGCCAACAAGAUGCAAGCAUCUUGGCAGGGCCCGUACAAGGUAGUAGCGCAGAUCUGCGAUACUACUUACUUGAUAGCCAGCUGUGCAGAUGAGAGGAUCCAGCGGUCCUUUCAUGUGAACAUGCUGAAAGAGUACCAGGAGAGACCUGAGAAUAUUGCAGCAGUAUGUGCCCCAGCUGCAGAUGAUUCUGAGAAUCUACCCCUUCCAGAUUUGUUAGAAAGGGAUUCCCAGACUGACCUCACUACCCUUGUACAGCUUGGGGACAGGUUGAACCCUACAGAAAGAGUACAGGCACAGCAGUUGUUGUGAGAGAAGCAGGCGACGUUCUCCCAGGAGCCAGGUUAUACCACCCUAGCUGUACAUAAGGUAGAGACCCCUGGACAGACCCCCUUACGACAGCCCCCCUAUCGUAUCCCUGAAGCAGUCCGUGAAGGAAUGCGGAAGGAGAUACAGGAGAUGACCCAACUUGGGGUCAUUGAGCACUCCGACAGCCCUUGGGCCUCGUCUGUAGUCCUGGUACCCAAGAAAGAUGGGACCACCCGGUUCUGUGUGGACUACAGGCGGCUCAACGAGCGGACCCCACUGACGCCUACCCAAUGCCACUGGUAGACGAAUUACUGGAUCGUAUUGCCAGGGGGCGCUAUCUGACCACCAUAGACCUGUGUAAGGGCUACUGGCAGAUCCCCCUGGCCGAGGAUGCUAUCCCCAAGUCGGCAUUUGUCACCCCAUUUGGCCUGUACCAAUUUAAGGUCAUGCCUUUUGGGAUGAAAAAUGCAUGGUGGAUAGACUCCUGGAUGGCUUCCAAGAAUUUGCCUGUGCAUACUUGGACGACAUUGCGAUUUACAGUGGGUCCUGGGAGGAACACCUGGUUCAUGUAGGGGUGGUACUGGAAAAGAUUCGGGCCGCUGGCCUGACAUUGAAGCCAGAGAAGUGCCAUCUAGGUAUGGCUGAAGUACAGUAUCUGGGUCACAGAGUGGGUUGUGGGAGCCAGAGACCAGAGCCAGCCAAGGUAGAGGCAGUGGCUAACUGGCCCACACCUACCACUAAGACCCAGGUACUGGCCUUUUUGGGGACGGCAGGGUACUACAGACGUUUUGUCCCUGACUACAGCACUAUUGCUAAGCCCCUGACAGACAUGACAAAGAAGAACUUGCCUAAGCAGGUCCUGUGGUCUCCGGCUUGUGAAGCCGCGUUCCAGGCACUGAAACAGGCCCUUGUGAAUGCCCCUGUCUUGGCUGCCCAGUCCCUAACAAACGUUUUCUCAUCCAUACAGAUGCUUCCAUAUAUGGACUGGGGGCUGUGCUGAGCCAAGUCGGGGAAGAUGGAGGAGAGCACCCUGUCGCACAUCUCAGCAGAAAAUUGUUACCCAGAGAAGUGAGUUAUGCGGCAGUGGAGAAGGAGUGUUUGGCCUUGGUCUGGGCAUUGAAAAAGUUAAGUCCCUACUUAUAUGGGCAAGAGUGUUCCCUUGUGACUGAUCAUAACCCACUCGUUUGGCUUAACCGGGUCUCAGGAGACAAUGGGAGACUACUGAGAUGGAGCUUGGCAUUGCAGCCCUACAAUUUUACCAUCAGCUACAGACCCGGUAAGCUGAACGGGAAUGCAGAUGUGUUAUCUCGGCAAACAGACGUCUCCACCACCUCUUAGUCCGGUCAUCCCCAAGUUGACCCGCCAAAGGGUCAAGCCGGGUCUGCCGGAGUGUCCCACAAGGAGGGAGCCGUGUGACAGAACCAUCUGUCUGCUCAUUUCAGGUGUAUUCGUCUGUUUCUAUCCUAUUCGUGUGAAUGGCUGUUUUCUAUAGCCCAGCCAUACGAAUGACUGUUUUUUCCCGAACAAACCUGCCGAACGGACGGCCACCCAGGAGAGAAGUGUGCUGCUGGUUAACCUAUUGAUCUCAAUUAGAACGUUGUGGUUAACCGCAGACACUUCUCAAUUACACGAAUUCAGGGUGGUCGUCGUUCGUAUGUCGACCAUGAGGCAGCGGCCAUUUUAAACCACGCGAAAGCCCAGCGGUGUUCGGCUCUAUUUUCAUGGAACUAAAAACGGACACUUUUUCUGGCGAACACCGCUGAAACAACGGAACGCCUGGCUGCCUCCACGAAAGAAACAUAGAAACAUAGAAACAUAGAAUGUGACGGCAGAUAAGAACCAUUCGGCCCAUCUAGUCUGCCCAAUUUUCUAAAUACUUUCAUUAGUCCCUAGUCUUAUCUUAUAGUUAGGAUAGCCUUAUGCCUUAAACUCCUUUACUGUGUUAACCUCUACCACUUCAGCUGGAAGACUAUUCCAUGCAUCCACUACCCUCUCAGUAAAGUAAUACUUCCUGAUAUUAUUUUUAAACCUUUUGUCCCUCUAAUUUAAGACUGUCCUCUUGUUGUGGUAGUUUUUCUUCUUUUAAAUAUAGACUCCUCCUUUACUGUGUUGAUUCCCUUUAUGUAUUUAAAUGUUUUAUCAUAUCCCCUGUCUCGUUUUUCUCCUUAAGCUAUACAUGUUAAAAUUCUUAACCUUUCUGUAAAGUUUUAUCCUUCCGCGAAUCCAUGAAAUCCAGUUUAGUAGCCNNNNNNNNNNNNNNNNNNNNNNNNNNNNNNNNNNNNNNNNNNNNNNNNNNNNNNNNNNNNNNNNNNNNNNNNNNNNNNNNNNNNNNNNNNNNNNNNNNNNUACAGUAGCUGUGCCUGUCUCUGAAAGGGGAUUAUCGUCUAAGCGUUUUUUUCCCCUUUUGUGCAAAACGGUCCGUUACAGUAGGCAAAAGAGGGGACAGAUACAAAGCCCGACUACGGUCUCUGCCCAUCAUUGAGGAACCCUUCAGUAGUGUGGCAGUAGACAUCAUAGGUCCCCUCGCAAAACCAAGCACCUCCAGCAAGAAAUAUGUCCUAACCGUGGUGGAUUAUGCCACCAGGUACCCCGAGGCCGUGGCCUUAACUAAUGUGCACGCAGAAACGGUAGCCGAGGCCCUGAUGAGAAUAUUCACCCGGGUAGGAUUUCCCCGGGAGAUUAUCUCCGAUAGAGGCACCCAGUUUACUGCUGAAGUGACCCAUCAGCUCUGGAAGAUAUGUGAGUUACAGCAAAUCCUGAACUCCCCAUAUCACCCCCAGUCCAAUGGGCUCUGUGAACGGUUUAACGGAACCCUGAAACAAAUGAUCCGCACGUUCAUG